CUGAUGAUGACGGACGAGCGACUGUACGCGCGACACGCCGGACGACGAUCGCCGUCCUGGCGAGAGUAGGCCAACGAAAUGCGCACAGGUUGCUCGGGAUGAUCGAGAACAAAUGCGGAAGUAAGGAUUCUCAGACGAGCAGACGCUAUCGCAAGCACCAGUGCCUUGCAACACGGCGCACAAUCGAGCCUUCAUCUGCGAAUUCAUGCGCGUGCCGAGGCUUGCGAAGAAACAGGCCGAUGGCCGUUAACGACUCCUCAUGGAAGAAAAGAAGAAACGAGAAGGAAACAAGAGGCAAGAAUAAACGAGACAACGUAAUCCUCUUAAUAAUAGGAGGAGAGAAGGCAGUUGAAUUGCACCCUUCACGAUUCCAGCGGCGCUGGCUAAAAAAUUCUGUAAAGAAAUGAAAUAAAAGUUCGAAUUGCGGCCGCCCGCCGAGCCCGCCGACUGAUGCACACACUGCAAUUACAUUUUACAAGUAAAUCGCGGCGCAGACAUUACGAUUGCGAUGGGGCCCGCGGUGCUGAGACUAUGUUAACUGCAACGUCGAGAUCACAGGGCGGAUAUGAAGUCAUCGCACUCGAGGCUACUUGAUUCGUUCCGUCGUGGCUUCCGCCGUCGUGGGUACGCUAAUUCGUUGCCUUUGGUGCGAAGAUGGAAUACAAUCCGGCCGCUGUGUAUGUACGCGUGCACGGUAUCCCGCGCGUAACGACUGCCUCUCUUUUAUACAAUGGCAACGAAUAAGAAAGUGACAAUUGGUCGAAUACAAUGAGCAGUUUCUCCGAUAAUGAUAGUGUUUUCAGAGACUUAUAAAUAAGCAAACGAGAUAUUCGAAUUUAAAUAAAGCUAUUGUGCGCACGCGAUCAGAAUAUUUUAACGCGGCCGCGUACCCAGUCCGGUUCCAGAGUGGAACAGGCGACAUCGACGCCGGCAAAUGAGCGGCAUUAAUGUUAUGUGUCUCUCUCCCUGUUAAACACUAGAUCAGCUUUCGCUCGCCGCGGGAAACGUUGAGAUAAACAGCGCGCAAAUGAAAGCGCAUGUCGAUUGAAUGAUCGUGGGCGAUCAAUCGGUGGUCAAAAAGUCCCGAAUACCAUUACGACACCAUUGGCAAUGCGAAUACCGGCUUCUCGAAAACGGCAACCAACGGCGGUGAUUCCCGAGAAGCCUUUCCCCUCGCCUUCGCGCGAAGAGAGUGAAACGCCAUAACGAGCACGCGUCGAAGAAACCCGUACUUAUGGCCUCUGAAUGGUUUCUUCACACAGGUGCAUGAUGUCAUUCGUAAUAGCGUCAUCGAGUCGCAAACUCGAAGCGCGAGGAUGCUGUUUAAGAGAGCGCACACCGAGAUAAUCAUCGAUUCUUCGGUCGACACUCUUUUAUCCUCUCGAAAGGAAACUCGAGAAAAUCGAAACAUACGAAAAUUUUUAUUCUUCAAUUUAAUGUUUUUUUUUAGCAAAUGUAAUCCGUAGGCAAUUUGUGGACUGCGUUAAAUUGUGAGAGUGCGUUGGAAAAUAUGAUUAAUUUGUUUGUCGGAAGUGACAAGUCGGAUUCAUAGAUUUCCCGGAGCGACAAUAAUUUGCGCGAUCGAUUAGCGAAGACCUUCGACUGCGAGCGUAUCUACCCCGCGGAGCUGACUAUUACGACUCGAUGUUUCUUCAAAUGAUCAUUUUACUACCGAUUCCACCUACGCUAUUCUGUUGAGAGCGAAAAACAUCGUGCUUGUGCGUAUUUUCAUGUGCUUGUGUUGCACUCAGCGCGUAAACAGCGCGAUCAGUAUCGGUACAUUCCUUUUAAAUGCAUAAAAUGUGCAUCGAGUUAUUCUUAUUAAAAUCUAGAUUAUCUUGGCUAGUAAUGAGAAAUCGUAUUGCGUCUAGCAGUAUCGCACCGAAUCGCAUCGCUGCGCAGAUCGGAGGUCAUGCAGCGUAGACGAGCAUGUGAAAAUUAGCAAGGCGAAUCGUUAAUAUUCACGCUGUAUCUCGAGAUUAGCGAUCGAUAAGAAUACCCCAGGACAUUGGCAUGUAGCCACGGAGAAAUCGUGAGCGUAAUAAAUCCCGAUUUUCUGGAGACGUAUUUCGUAAGACAUUAAUUAGAAAACGCUGCAAGUAACGCUGAUCGCAUUGCAACACACAUCGCGUCUGUUUUAUCAUAAAAUAUCUUUACCAUUUUAUUUAAAAACGCGUUGUAGAAUGAAAACUACUUGCGUAUUUAAGAAUUAAGUCGGACCUUAAAUCUGCACUUUUUUAAAUAAAAUUGGAUUAAGAAUAUAAAUACAAAUAAAAUAAUCAAACAACUUGCAAAUGAAUUUACACAAAAUAGACAGAUGAAAAAUGUAUAAAUUAAUGUUUUAUGAUUAAUAAAUUAAUGUUUUUC
RNAcentral lists this long non-coding RNA (2367 nucleotides) under Ooceraea biroi (clonal raider ant). RNAcentral describes it as "uncharacterized LOC109611100". The record is from RNAcentral. Lineage: Eukaryota; Metazoa; Arthropoda; Insecta; Hymenoptera; Formicidae.